UGGGGAAUCUUGCGCAAUGGGCGAAAGCCUGACGCAGCGACGCCGCGUGGGUGACGAAGGCCUUCGGGUUGUAAAGCCCUGUGGGGUAGAACGAACUGGCAUCGGGCUAAUAUCCCGGUGUCUUGACGGUACUGCCUUAGCAAGCAUCGGCUAACUCUGUGCCAGCAGCCGCGGUAAGACAGAGGAUGCGAACGUUGCUCGGAUUUACUGGGCGUAAAGCGCGUGUAGGCGGUCUCGUUAGUCGGGUGUGAAAGCCCCGGGCUCAACCCGGGAAGUGCACCCGAUACUGCGAGACUGGGGUACUGAAGAGGAGAGCGGAAUUCCCGGUGUAGAGGUGAAAUUCGUAGAUAUCGGGAGGAACACCAGUGGCGAAGGCGGCUCUCUGGGCAGAUACCGACGCUGAGACGCGAAAGCGUGGGGAGCAAACAGG
Molecule: ribosomal RNA, 430 nt
Filed under: uncultured bacterium
Lineage: Bacteria
Description: bacterial SSU rRNA
Rfam family: Bacterial small subunit ribosomal RNA
Source: RNAcentral